RNAcentral lists this ribosomal RNA (211 nucleotides) under uncultured Pelotomaculum sp. RNAcentral describes it as "partial 16S ribosomal RNA". It matches the Rfam family "Bacterial small subunit ribosomal RNA", at positions 1175 to 1382 of the family's 1533-position model. The record is from RNAcentral. Lineage: Bacteria; Bacillati; Bacillota; Clostridia; Eubacteriales; Desulfotomaculaceae.
GGGGAUGACGUCAAAUCAUCAUGCCCCUUAUGUUCUGGGCUACACACGUGCUACAAUGGCCGGUACAGACGGAGGCGAAGCCGCGAGGCGGAGCAAAUCCGAAAAAGACCGGUCUCAGUUCGGAUUGCAGGCUGCAAUUCGCCUGCAUGAAGUCGGAAUCGCUAGUAAUCGCAGGUCAGCAUACUGCGGUGAAUACCGGUUCCCGGGCCUU